ACGCGUUUAUGUCUGCGCCUGUCUCAUGUUAAACACAGGUACAGGCCUAAACUCGAGA
This 58-nucleotide microRNA precursor is filed under the name Branchiostoma floridae (Florida lancelet). Its description in RNAcentral is "Bfl-Mir-4862_pre stem-loop". Lineage: Eukaryota; Metazoa; Chordata; Leptocardii; Amphioxiformes; Branchiostomatidae. The record is from RNAcentral.